This is a long non-coding RNA of Felis catus (domestic cat), 874 nucleotides long. RefSeq lists it as uncharacterized. NCBI's taxonomy places the organism in Eukaryota, Metazoa, Chordata, Mammalia, Carnivora, Felidae. The record is from RefSeq and is a predicted model, not a curated record. The transcript has 5 exons.
AAUAAAUGGAUUGUUACAUGUAACAACAUGGAUGCAUCUCAAAGUAACUAUGCUGAGUAAAAGAAGAUAGACUAAAACAGAACAUACUGUAUAAUUUCUAUAAAACUAGAAAAGGCAAACAUCUUCAGACAAAUAAUGCAUCCCUGAUUGCCAGGGACAGGAGAGAUGGGAGGAAAGAACUAUAAAAGGACCAAGGAAACUUUUGAGGGCAUACCAUUGGAACCCUUUGUUCCUUCAUGCUACUGGAACGAUUUGAAAAUGCCAGUUCCAGAUAAGAAAACUGAGACACAGAGAGACUUAGUAAAUUUCCUCAAUUCAUUCAGAUGGUGAGGAGACAAUGAGAUGUCCUUCUGCAAACCAGAAGAGGGCCCUCACUAGACACUGCAUCUACCAGCACCUUGAUCCUGGACGUCCCAGAUUUUAGAAUUGCCACUCAGACCUUGUCUCCCAGGAAUUUGAAUCCCAGCCACUGACACAGGAGGGAAAAUGGGAGGAGAUGAAGCACACCAAUUGCAGUGUCAUGGACAGAUUUCCCUCCUUUUCCUGCCAACUUUCCUGGGUCCUGUCCUUUGCAAAAGCUGGUUGUUUUGUUCUCUUUUUGGUUUAUGAAUUGCCAUGAAUCCUUUCAAUAAAAUCCUUUUGUUUCCCUAAAGUAGGCUAGAGUUGUUUACUAUCGCUUAAGACCCAAAGCACUCGUAUUCAGAACCAACAGAAUUACAUUAUAUGACAUUUCACAUAGACAGUGGGAGUCAGAAGAAAACAGUAUUUUGCUUCAUAUAUGUAGUUUUCAAAGAAAGAAUGAAAAAUCAAAAGAUCCAUCCAGUGAAAGAGUUACUGUAGUACAGAUGUUAGUGCAAGACAGCAUUAUGUAGAA